AAGUAAAAGUCGGUAACAAGGUCUCCGUUGGUGAACCAGCGGAGGGAUCAUUACCGAGUUUACAACUCCCAAACCCAAUGUGAACGUUACCAAACUGUUGCCUCGGCGGGAUCUCUGCUCCGGGUGCGUCGCAGCCCCGGACCAAGGCGCCCGCCGGAGGACCAACCAAAACUCUUUUGUAUACCCCCUCACGGGUUUUUAUAAUCUGAGCCUUCUCGGCGCCUCUCGUAGGCGUUUCGAAAAUGAAUCAAAACUUUCAACAACGGAUCUCUUGGUUCUGGCAUCGAUGAAGAACGCAGCGAAAUGCGAUAAGUAAUGUGAAUUGCAGAAUUCAGUGAAUCAUCGAAUCUUUGAACGCACAUUGCGCCCGCCAGUAUUCUGGCGGGCAUGCCUGUCCGAGCGUCAUUUCAACCCUCGAACCCCUCCGGGGGGUCGGCGUUGGGGAUCGGCCUUCCUUCACGGGGGCCGUCUCCGAAAUACAGUGGCGGUCUCGCCGCAGCCUCUCCUGCGCAGUAGUUUGCACACUCGCAUCGGGAGCGCGGCGCGUCCACAGCCGUUAAACACCCAACUUCUGAAAUGUUGACCUCGGAUCAGGUAGGAAUACCCGCUGAACUUAAGCAUAUCAAUAAGCGGAGGA
This 637-nucleotide ribosomal RNA is filed under the name uncultured Trichoderma. RNAcentral describes it as "eukaryotic LSU rRNA". The stretch from base 252 to 405 matches the Rfam family "5.8S ribosomal RNA". The record is from RNAcentral. Lineage: Eukaryota; Fungi; Ascomycota; Sordariomycetes; Hypocreales; Hypocreaceae.